AAUUAGAACGGGUGGGGGUAUAUAUAAGGACACCGGGGAGACUGUAUGGCGUCUUCCUUCUCCCCAGCAGGUUGGCUGUGGAGUUUUCUCUCCCUAGAGGUUUAGAGGUUUUUAUCUGUGCAGCCCUUUGCGGAAACCUUGGAUGGAGAUUCCUUUAUACAUUCCUUUCGGAUCCCACUUUUCAUCCUAGACAUAAUAUUACGCCAUGAAUAUUGGAUCCUUGUUCCUGGUCUCUGAUGAGAUGGUUGGGUGACCCAUUAUUUGAUCAGAGUGGUGUUUUGGAUGGGGAUACACUUUUUUGACAGCGUGGAGACUGCUGGGGGUUUGAUGCAUACACACAGGCAUUCAAUAAAAUACAAUAAGACACAAUAUGAUGUGGAAAAUUGGGAGAA
Molecule: long non-coding RNA, 392 nt
Organism: Rana temporaria (common frog)
Lineage: Eukaryota; Metazoa; Chordata; Amphibia; Anura; Ranidae
Exons: 3
Source: RefSeq, a predicted model, not a curated record